RNAcentral lists this ribosomal RNA (267 nucleotides) under uncultured bacterium. Its description in RNAcentral is "partial 16S ribosomal RNA". It matches the Rfam family "Bacterial small subunit ribosomal RNA", at positions 793 to 1055 of the family's 1533-position model. The record is from RNAcentral.
GUCCACGCCCUAAACUAUGUAUGCUUGGUGUUGGAGGCUUUGCCUUCAGUGCCGUAGGUAACCCGUUAAGCAUACCACCUGGGGAGUACGAUCGCAAGUUUGAAACUCAAAGGAAUUGACGGGGGCCCGCACAAGCGGUGGAUCAUGUGGUUUAAUUCGAUGCAACGCGAAGAACCUUACCUGGGGCUUGAAUUGCAGGAAGUAGUGAGAUGAAAGUCAAGCGAACCGUUAAACCGGUAACCUGCAGAGGUGCUGCAUGGCUGUCGU